Molecule: long non-coding RNA, 215 nt
Filed under: Pan troglodytes (chimpanzee)
Lineage: Eukaryota; Metazoa; Chordata; Mammalia; Primates; Hominidae
Description: long non-coding RNA NONPTRT005560
Source: RNAcentral
UGGGAUGGUGGGGAGAUAAGAACCAUGAGAGAAGUUGGCACAAAGGAGUUAUGGGACAAAGGGUCCAAGAUAGGCAGAAAAGAAAAUGUUGCCAGUUGAUGGGGAAGAAAGGAAGUCAGAGGGCUCAGACACUGUGGGGGACAGAACAUCUCCAUGUGCACUCUCAUCUCUUGUAGUCAGUCCAAGAUAGGCAGAAAAGAAAAUGUUGCCAGUUG